GGCCUCCUCAGCGAUGUGCUUGGCCUCCUUCAGCUGCAUUUCCUGAAUUUCCAUUUUUUCUUCAUCUUUCAUUGCUCUGUUCUCAAUGACUUUCAUUCCUCUCUCACUCUCAUCCGCCGCUUUUUCGGCCUCUUCCAGCUUCUGCAGGGCUGUGGCCAGCCGCUCCUGGGCCCGAUCCAGCUCCUCUUCCACCAGCUGGAUGCGUCUGUUGAGCGCCGCCACCUCACCUUCUGCUGGGUUUACACACACGGCAUGGCUCACGCAGCACUGGCAUCUGGUCUGCAGCAUAGCCGCUUCUCGCUCCGGCCGGGCCGCUCUCACUGCCCGCGAUCCCAGAGCCGCGCAGCGGACCCGCGGGAGCCGCCCGGCCCCACCUCUGCCGCAGCCCGCGCUCCUUAUACGGUAAAACUAACUCGCUGACAUGCGAUAAAACAGCAGGAAGAUGCCGGGCAGGCCGAUCGCACACAGACCUAAGUGAAACCAGCUGUCCGGCCCCGGGAGAGCGGCACGCUGCUGGAGAGCUCCCAUUUCUCUGGGAAAACCGGGAGGGAAAAGUUAUUUUCCAGCAGUUCGGACAUUUCCCAGCUGUGCCUGAGCCAGCGGCGCGGCGCCGGGGCGGGACCUCCGCGCCCGUUGUCAUGCAGCGCUUUUUCCCAGCGAGCAGCCGCCCCGCCCGCAGCCCGAGCCCGGCGCGGUGCCCGCGGUGGAGAGCGGAGCGCGGCGAGGUGCGGGGCGCACCGGGCACAGCCAGAGAGAGAGCCAGAGACAGGAAGGAAGGAGCGGGGCAGCCCGGAGAGAGCGACCGAGAGAGGCGAGCGGGCAGCCGGCGGUCUCACUUUCUCCCGCAGGUCCCGUUCCAGGUCCAGCUCCCGCUGCAGGACCUGGGCGCGAUCCUCCGCCUCGUCCGCCUGCUGCUGCAGGCAUUGGAUCUUCCUCUUCACCGCUUCCAGGGAGCUCGGCGCGGCCAUGGGCGCGGCGGGCAGGGCGCGCGGUGCUGCACGUGGCGGCGCGCGGCCCCGCGCCUUUCAAUGGGCCGAUGACGUCACGCGGCGGGAGGUGGGGUGGUGACGUCAGCAGAGGAGCGGCGCGCGGGAGCUCCGGCACAGCCGCACCCCGGGAGCUCCGGCCGCCCGAGGACGCCGAAGGCGCCGCGGCGAUCCUCGGCCCGGGGACGGCCGCUCCGUGCCACGUCUGAGCCCGUGCUGGCGCGGGAGGAGCGGAACCGGGCCCGGCAGCUACGGGGCGCGGGGAGCGGAGCGUGGCGGUGCGGUGCAGCCCUGCGCCGAGCGGAGCCGUGCGCCAAGCGGGGCCCCGGGAACAUCGCCGCAGCGUUCGCUUAUAGAGAACGUUUCGCGUCUGCUGAAGAACUCCGUCCCUCCCACGGCCGUCUCUCCCCGCUCAGCCCCUCCGCCCCGUGCAGUGCCGUGUGCCGCUGCGGCAGCGCGGGGUGCAGAGCGGGCAGCACAGCGGGCAGCGGACGGACAUACCUGAAACGUAGCACUGCUUUCCCAUCCCCUGACCGAGGUACUGCAACAAACAACGCUCAGUGAUUCACCCCAGCCCCGUACCACACACACACAGCAGAGCCGAGCACAGCCGGCUGCGGGUACAUACAUCCGUGGCCUUCUUUUCAGCCUGCUCCAGCUUUUCCUGGGCAUCUUUCAGAGCCUCAGAGUAUUUAUCCAGCUCAUCUUCAGUUCCUUUCAACUUCUUCUGCAGAGCUACCAGCUCAUCCUCGACCUUUCAAGAGAAAAGAAAGGGAUUUGGACAUGCUGCCACUGAGACGUGGCUAAAACUUCUCCCCAUUAGCUUUCAUAUAACGGAGCCGCAGCACACCCAGGGCCUGCAGUGUCUGCCUGGCAGCGGAUCCCAGGGAGGAUGAUUAAAACCAUGCUGUCCGUACGGCAGCAUCCGCUGCCACUGAGCACAGGAUGUGGCUCAAUACAGAACUUGGCAUCGUCCCCUUUACACCUCAUUUCUGUUUUGGACUCCACAACAUCCUGCAAAGUUCUGCAGCGUAUUGUACAGUGUUUUAAAAUUACAUCCUUGUGCUCAUUGUGACAGAACUACUCAUGGCCUGUUAGGAAACUCUGAUUGUGGUACAGUUAUAAGAAAGGAGGGGCGGCCAUUCCUGCUGCAGCUCUGCACAUCACAGCCACAACGCGCUGCACUGCCCACUGCUGUGUGCAGGGGGCGUCGGACGGCCCCCAAACACCCCAACCUCCACCAUUCCUGUUCCAACCCGGCCAGCAAGGUGCCCUCCGUCCCACACCAUAUAAAUCCAUACUGUGCACUACACCGAACUAUUUAUAACCUGCAGGGAGAACGGUUAAUGACAAAGUGCCUCACGCUCCCCAGGAAUUUGCAUUAUCAGGAGCUGCUGCUGAUAAGGGUGCGCCUGCAGCCCAUCUGCUCCCGCCUUCCAUUUGCAAUACAAAGCAGUUCAGUCCGUAGAGAAAACUGAUUUAACCAUUUGACUCUGCUUUCACCUAAAUUUAGACUGUCAAAACAGUUCACUCAAAACAGUUUAUGUUUCAGUAUGUGUAUGUUCUUCACUCUAGCAUCAAGAACAGCUUUACCAGCAUUCCUGGCAGCAAGCUGUUCUUCAACACCAUUACACUGCUGUACUUUUAUUCAGAGUAACCACAGCGUGAGAGGACUGAACACGCUCCCCUGGAUGCUUCAGCAGGGAACAGCAGGCAGGAGAAGUGGUGCUUCCUUCGUGUAUGACAUUAAAAUCCUUACCACGGUGUGUGUGUCUGUAUUAAAAAUCUAAUAAAAGAGGUGAAAAAUUGGGGACAAUUCAGAAAAGAGAAGAAAGAUCAAAGCCUUAUUUUCUCUUUGUUGCUUUUUAUUGCAGACUACCCUCAUACUUAACAGUUCCCGAAGACAUGCUGUUCAGUCUGUAGGAAGUCACCUUUGCUAACUACAUGCAAAGGAGGGCUGAGCAUUCUAUCACCACUAACGGCUCUGAGUAACCAUCUGCUGGGGCUGUUAUGAGUGCAGUAAGGGGAUCAGUGUGGCCCAGCAGAACCACAUCUGAGCAGCACCUCUCAGGCUAUGGAAGAAACAGCAACCGCGUUCACGUGGUGCUGCGUGGAGCCUGGAGCAGCUCUGAGUGCAACAAAGAGAUGAGGCGCUUUCUGUGAGCUGGGGUGGAGCGGGAAGGUGGCAGCAGCUGAUCCUUUUGGAAACUUUUUUUUUUUUUUUUUUGCGGUGCUUCAGCUGCACGGUUGGCCAAUUAAAAAUGUAAUUAUAUCACCCAAAGAUCUCAGAUUGGACAGAAGAAACACUUGGCCAAAUAAUAAUGCACAUGGCAAUCUGGAAGAGGUAGCAGAAAGAAACACAUUUAGAGAAUAUAAAAAGAUAUGAGCAUUUUUUUUUAUAAGCUCUGUAACAAAUUGGAACGUGGUGAGAAAACAUUUAAAGAUCAUUCUGAAAGUGUUACAGCUCAGAGUUGAGGUAGGCACCCAGAAUAAAGAACAAUGAAAAACAAUAGAAUACGCAAAUGCUAUCUGUAUAAUUCAAUUAAAAUUAGCGCUUUCAAAUUAAGAUAUUUCUGAUCAUUGCUGACAAAUCAGUAACACAGCACACCUACUGGCGAGUCGCAGCAGGCACCUCCAAGGGCACUGCAGGACCACAGACAAGUCAGCAGAACUUCAUUAAUUCACUUCAAGGAGAGGCUCAAUUAAUGUCAGCCACAGCUGACUUCAGACAGCAUUAACUCUGUUCCUACAGGUGUUCAAUCUACAGCUUUGAUUUUAAGUUUUUAAUGUCUUUUCAGUGGAAUCACGAGCAAAAGAAAAUUAAAGCAAUUAUGUAUGAUUUAAGAAAACUGAGACAAAAUAGUCUUAAAAAUCUGUAGCUAGUGCUAGUUUUGCAAAGACGGAAGAAAAGAUUAUUAAUACCUAG
RNAcentral lists this long non-coding RNA (3912 nucleotides) under Gallus gallus (chicken). Lineage: Eukaryota; Metazoa; Chordata; Aves; Galliformes; Phasianidae. The record is from RNAcentral.